AAUAGUUCUGCUACUCAUUUGCUCCUUGUCCACACUUGACUAUUGUAAGAUAAUCCCUGUAUUACUGUUCCCUUAGCCAUCUUUUCUUCCACAACUCCCUAAAAAAAAAAAAGUGCGGCUUUACUUUACAGCUAAUUUGCUGUAAUCACAUUGCCCAGAAAAGAGCACAGCUGCUCACAAUGAAGAAAGAGAAAAUGGGAACAGAGGGAACCUUAUAAUGAAGUGGGGGUGGGGGGAGCAGUAAGGGGGUGGAAAGAACUGUUAGUUGCUGUUGGAGUCAUUUGAGACAAGGGAAAAACAGGAGUAGGUUAGUGUGUUGACCCUGAGCCUUGGAAUGGAUGAAAAUGGAAGGAAAAAGCAACCAAAGAGUAAACUCUUUUGCGGCCUGAAGCUGCUUCUAUCACUGGAAAUUCAAGAGUCAGAGCACGUUUGAAAGAAAUUCCUCAUCAUCCACAGCUAUCAUUUAGGACUAGCCUGAAGCGAUCUUCAAAGAAGUUUUGAAUCCCUGGAAUCUUCUGUAGGCUCUUCUCAAGCAACACCUUCUUUUCCAUUCUCUGUUUGCUAGCAUCUUCCUCCCACUAUUACUUUGGGUAUAUCUUGGAUUUGCUUGCCUGCAUAUGUUGUUAAACAAAAUGUUUCCCCUGCAAGCUCCUUAGGAGCACAUACUAUUUUAUUUUUGUCUUUGUACUUCCAGCAUCAUGCCUGGCACAUACUAGGCACUUAAUACAUUUUUUUUUAACCAGACCUGUGAUUUUCAUUGAUUGCUUCAAGGAAUUCCCAGUAAGGAAAUUGUUUCUCCCAAAGUAGAUCAGCACCUGCCCUGCCACUUCCAACCUUGAAGGGUGUGAGUAGCAUCCUUAGAGGUUAGACAACUUUCCCAGAGUCACAAAGCCAGAAUGUGUCCAAGAUGGGACUUGAACCCUGGUGUUCUUGUCCCUUAGGCAAGCUUCUAUCUUCUAGUGAGAUUACCUCUCAAUAACUACUU
This 985-nucleotide long non-coding RNA is filed under the name Phascolarctos cinereus (koala). RNAcentral describes it as "lncRNA (ENSPCIG00000037016.1)". The record is from RNAcentral. Lineage: Eukaryota; Metazoa; Chordata; Mammalia; Diprotodontia; Phascolarctidae.